This 501-nucleotide ribosomal RNA is filed under the name uncultured bacterium. Its description in RNAcentral is "partial 16S ribosomal RNA". It matches the Rfam family "Bacterial small subunit ribosomal RNA", at positions 29 to 523 of the family's 1533-position model. The record is from RNAcentral.
AUUGAACGCUGGCGGCAUGCCUUACACAUGCAAGUCGAACGGCAGCACGGGUGCUUGCACCUGGUGGCGAGUGGCGAACGGGUGAGUAAUACAUCGGAACGUACCUUAUCGUGGGGGAUAACGCAGCGAAAGCUGUGCUAAUACCGCAUACGCCCUGAGGGGGAAAGCGGGGGAUCGCAAGACCUCGCGCGAUUAGAGCGGCCGAUGCCUGAUUAGCUUGUUGGUGGGGUAAGAGCCCACCAAGGCGACGAUCAGUAGCUGGUCUGAGAGGACGAUCAGCCACACUGGGACUGAGACACGGCCCAGACUCCUACGGGAGGCAGCAGUGGGGAAUUUUGGACAAUGGGGGCAACCCUGAUCCAGCAAUACCGCGUGAGUGAUGAAGGCCUUCGGGUUGUAAAGCUCAUUUGUCAGGGAAGAAACACCGGCUCUAACACAGUCCGGGAAUGACGGUACCUGAAGAAUAAGCACCGGCUAACUACGUGCCAGCCGCCGCCGUAA